CUCUGAAAAGCAGUGCCGUUCCUUUUUAGAAAGACUGAAUCUAAAUGUUGUCUCUGGAGACGAGAAGCCUUCAGUAUGUUAAAUUACUUUCAUUAUGUAUUUUCAGAUGCUUAUUGAUUCCACAGUAGGAAGAGUGAGAGACUGCAGCAGCCUCUAAGCAGCACUACAUGUUCCAUACAUUAGCAGUACUGCUGAAACAAUGGCACACUACAGACACAUAUUUUCAUUAAGGUCAUUUUCGAAGAGAUGUUUAUGAGCCUCUUCCCCCAGUCCUCUACUAACAAGUGAACAAAAUGAAUCAAUCCAAACUGGAAAUGCUUCAACUACAUCAAGAAUUUAUCAAAUCUUUAGCAGAGGGCCGAUAGCAGCUAAUUCAGUAUUUACAACUGACAAUAUGAAGAAUGCAAUUGACUGAGCAUCUCCCUAGCUGUCUGAACUACGAACUGCAAGAUGUUCUUGUAACACGACUUUAAGACAUUAAGGAGUUAAAACCAGGGAAUAGGUCUACAUUACUGAUGGAAUAUAAAAAAUCAACUGUAUCCUAAGAAGAUGCUACAUAAAAUAACCACAAAAAGAAAAACAAUAUAACUGUAAAAGCCUGAAAAGAAUUUUUAAAAGGGGAAGUUUAUACUUUCAUAUACCAGAAUUGUGGAAGUUACUGAUUCUGGAAGACAUAAUGAAACAUUAAUUUCCAAAAAGAAAAGAAAAUACUUUAUCAGCACACAAAAGGAAGAUUUAGGAAGUGUUUUCAGCACUAAAUAUUCAGAUAUUCAUAUCAAUUGGUAUGACUAAUGGAUUUUUCUAUCUGACUUUUAUGACCAAUUAUGUAUCCUCUUCUAAUGAAAACAAACAAAAUUAAACAGCAGAUGGUUUUUAUCAAAAGGACAUGGCCUGGAUUUAUAAUAUAAAGCAAGUUAUGUGAUCAAGAAAUCAUUUCAAAAUAGUGAGCACUGCUAUUAAAAACAGAUUUACAAUGGUAACAAAAGGAUGUCUAAAUAUAUUUUAGAAGCUACAAACGUUAUGUUUCCUUUUUUGUUUUCACAUAUUCUGGAAAAUAAAAAAAUAUUAUCAUGUACUCCAUCAAAGGGAAACAUAAUUCCUAUCAUCUGAGGAAAUUCCUCUUGGCCGUGACUUUUUAAAGCAAAACAAAUACAAAUAUUAUGUACUGUUCUUUAGAAAUCCAUCAGCCAACUAAAUCUCAUAAUGCAUGCAGUUGAAGUAUUGGAGAGAAAACGAAAGAAUUCCUACAAGACAUGAAAUAAAACACAGCUACUUCACUGUUGUCAGGUAAAAAUUCAUGUCAAAAUCUGUCAAUGAUAUCAUGUAUCAAUUUGCCAAAAACUGUCAUAGUGAACCAAAAGGCCCAUAAGGCAACAGCAAACAGGGAAAAAAACCAACUGCUCCAAAAGAAUGUGUUUUUCUCCCAUUCUGGAAAUCAACAUGCAGUCUGAAUCUAACAUUACAGUGCGAGAUGACAUUGAUGACAUCAACACCAAUAUGUACCAACCACUAUCAUAUCCGUUAAGCUUUCAAGUGUCUCUCACCGGAUUUCUUAUGUUAGAAAUUGUGUUGGGACUUGGCAGCAACCUCACUGUAUUGGUACUUUACUGCAUGAAAUCCAACUUAAUCAACUCUGUCAGUAACAUUAUUACAAUGAAUCUUCAUGUACUUGAUGUAAUAAUUUGUGUGGGAUGUAUUCCUCUAACUAUAGUUAUCCUUCUGCUUUCACUGGAGAGUAACACUGCUCUCAUUUGCUGUUUCCAUGAGGCUUGUGUAUCUUUUGCAAGUGUCUCAACAGCAAUCAACGUCUUUGCUAUCACUUUGGACAGAUAUGACAUCUCUGUAAAACCUGCAAACCGAAUUCUGACAAUGGGCAGAGCUG
RNAcentral lists this long non-coding RNA (1882 nucleotides) under Pan troglodytes (chimpanzee). RNAcentral's name for it is "long non-coding RNA NONPTRT015826". The record is from RNAcentral. Lineage: Eukaryota; Metazoa; Chordata; Mammalia; Primates; Hominidae.